Molecule: ribosomal RNA, 227 nt
Filed under: uncultured bacterium
Lineage: Bacteria
Description: partial 16S ribosomal RNA
Rfam family: Bacterial small subunit ribosomal RNA
Source: RNAcentral
UACGGAGGGGGCUAGCGUUGUUCGGAAUUACUGGGCGUAAAGCGCACGUAGGCGGCUUUGUAAGUUAGAGGUGAAAGCCCGGGGCUCAACUCCGGAAUUGCCUUUAAGACUGCAUCGCUAGAAUUGUGGAGAGGUAAGUGGAAUUCCGAGUGUAGAGGUGAAAUUCGUAGAUAUCGGGAGGAACACCAGAGGCGAAGGCGGCGCACUGGACAGCAACUGACACUCAA